Triplophysa dalaica is the source of this 3515-nucleotide long non-coding RNA. RefSeq lists it as uncharacterized. Lineage: Eukaryota; Metazoa; Chordata; Actinopteri; Cypriniformes; Nemacheilidae. The record is from RefSeq and is a predicted model, not a curated record. The transcript has 6 exons.
CAAGAACCCCCUUCACACGUGUAGACAAAGGGACCCAUCAACACAACCUAAAUAUGCACUCUAAAAGUUUUUCCGUGGACGCGACUUUACGCCAAGACCUCGCAAAAUGCUCAGGCCACAUUCAGUUUUGGGAUUAUGAAGAAUGGAUCGCAACUUUUGUCAACGGACAAGCUUAUACGGAUACUUGAACGAACUUGUAUUAUUUCUCUUUAGUGGAAUAUAACUUUUCUUUGGGAUUAUUCGGCUGUGUGUAAUGUGAAUGGACGUCCUGACAUAAACCAAAGCCACACUCCCCUCUGCAGGGUCAAGUGUCAGAAUCUAGCCGUGUUCACAAUCAUCUGCUGAUGCAAACGGCUAUCCUAUCAUAGAGUAGAAGAGACCACUCAUUCACACAGGUUGAACCAUGUUGAGAGUUCAGGAGCAACAUGAGGACACCACAGCUCUUUACUCAGAAAGUGGAGAGAGAUAUAGAGACAGAUCCAGACAUACGCGUGGGAAGCAUGUUGUUCGCUCUUCCAGCGAUUCGCCGGCCAGCAGUGACAUUUGGUGCAGUGAAGGGGCUUCUCAUGAAGUUAUUCUUCAGGCUGUAAUCUCUAUGGGUGUCCGGUUUCAGCAGCGUGGCAUAUGCCAGACAAAGCCUUCCUUUCAGACGUGCAGGUCAGACCCGGGGACGCUCGCCGAUCUGCUCUGGACUCUUAUUCUCCUCCUCUUCCUCAUACGGCUGCAAACAGUGGAGACACUGUAUGGAACUUACAGCACAAAGGUUACACCGCUAUCAAAAUCUACAGGCCCUCGGAUGAACCAAAGCACCAGUGUGAAGGGAUGAACGGGAUGUGAAUGCUCUGCUUUGUGAUUGGACAGCCUGCUGCAGAAAAGGAACAGGAUGAUUUGGCGGAAACUGCUUUUUGGCGCCUGGCUCAGUAAGAACAUCCAUCACUGGUGGGCAGGACACAGCGAGACACUGUAAACGGCCAAAGUUCACGCCGAAAGGAAUGCUGAACUCCUCGAGAGGAGCCAAAGAACUCCAGCAUCAGCAAAGAGGAGCCGAAGGAUUCUCAUCUCCUCUCUGCUCCUGUCCAACCCUAGAGGCCCGUGAACAAUAGGCCUCUCUACACAGGAAGUCUUUACACCAGCCAGAGCUGAAUCCCAGCAACUCUAUUACCAUUCCAGUUGCCACAGGGUGUUGAGCCAUGGUGAACUCCGACCCCUGGCCUUAUUUUCAAAGGCGAUCUUUGAUCCCUAUUGUGGCUCAGCGAUCCUCUCCGAAUCUAGACGUGCAGAGAGGGGAGCAGGUGAAUCGCUCUUUCUCUGCUGUUGUUUUUGAUGUGGAACAUGGUCUGAGGCGAUUUCUCAGCAUGUGCAGAGAGCAAACGCAUUGCAAGGAUGGAAGUCAAGAAAUUUGGCUUAAGACGUCAAAAUCAAAAGUCUACAGCUAGUGAUUCAGAUGUUGGCUAAAGUUUUGUUUGUUCCGUCUUGACGUCCCAAUCGUUUAUUCAAAUGGUUUGCUCAAAGUCUACUUUGUUUUGGUCUUGUAUCGAUUAAGAUGUUGACGAUAAGGUCCAGCAUCUGAAACAUGACUAUCUUUGGAAACUCAUAAGUUUAGAGAACCUGAAUCGAGUUAACAUAUUUAAAACAGCACUUCGGCCAAACAUAAACAUGAUCUGUUAAGGCUGAAAGCACCUUGCGUCCUCCAAUCAGCAUUUAAAUCAACAUCACAAAAUGUUUUGCAUUUAAUUCUGUACGUUCUCAUUUGACUGCAUAUGAUACUUGAACUUUUUUCUCUCUCACUCUGUCUGUGUAUAACUGUGUGUAAAUCAAUUUGGGCUUCGGGCUGUUCUGCCUCACAGCCUCUUUUUCCUUUGAUUUGGUUCCCACCGCUGCCUAGCAGAGGGCUACAGCCAGCCUUAAGUUCUUUAAGGGAUUUGUACUCCCUCUAGUCUUAGCUUACCAACACCCGCAUUGACUCUAUCUGCCGCCCUCUGUGGGCUCCCGAACAAUGCUGGGAGAAUCUGUAAACUUCGACUUGAUUAUAUUGGAGUACCGUCAAAGGAAAAGAGGCUUUCGGUACAGACCUACCUUCAGGGCAAAUGGCCUUCAAAGGCCGUGAUCAGAAACUGUUUAUAAUGAAAUUAUGCAUAAACAUUACAAACAUUCGGGAAUGUUUACUGCUUUCAGUUAAGCAUCUACCUUACCCUUGAAAGACAACCUUGUAAACUGGAAUUGAGGUUAAUUUACGCCAGCUAAAAUAAAUGCCAGCUGAGAUUUGAUUUAUUUGUUUGCUAGAUCUGUGCUGACUGUAUUUUCCUUUUUUUUCAAAUGGAAAUGUAAUCAUCUUUAAUAAAAACAGUUUCAGACCCUUUUCCAACUGUUUACUGUUUACACACAAUACAUUUCCAUGCUAAAUUGUCUUGGCUUGUAUUUCCCCGUUUAAAUAACAACCUCACAAGAAACAGACGCACAUGUUCACUAUUUUUCUUUUUCGUUCAUGUCGAGGAGAGACAGAAAAGAGAAUUAGUGAUUCUUUACAUGUUCUCUCUCACCAGCUCUUCUGACGGUCUCAUCUCAUGUAAUGCAGCGCCCCCUGUGAACACAGACAGGUACUGCAGGCUUCAUUCAAGCCCGUGCAAGUGUGCAUGUCUGGAGUUCAUUUAUGUGAAACAGAGUUAGUUAGCUCGCCUGGGCUUCAAAGAAACAUUUUCCUGUGAUUGAGGUCGACUGUAAUGAUGUUUUAUGAACAUGCAAGAGGGAAACUCCAGAGAAGAAAUGUUUUAGCACCUCUCCCUUUGAACCUUGGGCUGUUUCUGUUCGUUCCCUCAACCUGUUUUAUCACCUCAUAAAGACGCAGGCGUGUUAGCGAACUUAUAUUUCCUAUUUUUAAUUAAAGCCAAAGUUAAUGUCACAUUUACCUGUUUAAUUGCUACUACUUGACUGUAAUGAAUGGUGAACACAUGCUUUUGUUGUGUCUUGGGACAAAAUGGAUGUCCUAAGUGUUCCUCAUAUACGUGUGAAAUAUAACUUUAUUCAAGUCAAUUGUAUUUUUGAAGCGCUUUCCACAAUUUUUAUUGUUGCAAAGCAGCUUUACAUACAUCAUACAAAAAAAAAGAAUACAAAUAAUACUAGGGGAAAAAUUUAAGAGAAGAUAUGGUAUUAAGAUACAAGUUUUUCUUUAUGCAAUGUACACUGAUGUAAGUGGAUUGUCAGAAACUGUAAUCAAUUAAAUUAAAGUAUAUUUAAUUUAGGUAUAUUAAUAUUUUAAAUAUUGUUCUCAGGACCGGGAGCCUAAAAUUGCAAUAUAGCAGUACAAUUUGAAAUAAUACCAAAAUGUGCAGAAAGAAUAUAUUUGUCAAAAUAUGUUAACGUGCAUGUGUGUUGUUAAAUGCAAGUUGUUAAUAUUUAUGGAUUAAACUAAAUCAGCAGUCUCCCAGCUAGUAAUGGUGGCAAGGAACCAAAACUCCACUAUUGAUGUAAAUGUACAGUCAAUACACCAAGAAAUUCAUGAAUAUACUUUUUUUAUU